RNAcentral lists this ribosomal RNA (468 nucleotides) under uncultured bacterium. RNAcentral describes it as "partial 16S ribosomal RNA". It matches the Rfam family "Bacterial small subunit ribosomal RNA", at positions 28 to 507 of the family's 1533-position model. The record is from RNAcentral.
GACGAACGCUGGCGGCGUGCUUAACACAUGCAAGUCGAACGGAAAGGCCCUGCUUUUGUGGGGUGCUCGAGUGGCGAACGGGUGAGUAACACGUGAGUAACCUGCCCUUGACUGUGGGAUAUCUUCAGGAAACUGGGGCUAUUACCGGAUAGGAGCUCCUGCUGCAUGGUGGGGGUUGGUAAGUUUCGGCGGUUGGGGAUGGACUCGCGGCUUAUCGGCUUGUUGGUGUGGUAGUGGCUUACCAAGGCUUUGACGGGUAGCCGGGCUGAGAGGGGGACCGGCGACAUUGGGCCUGAGAUAAGGCCCAGACUCCUACGGUAGGCAGCAGUGGGGAAGAUUGCACAAUGGGCGGAAGCCAGGUGCAGCAACGCCGCGUGCGGGAAGACGGGCUGCGGGUUGUAAACCGCUUUCGCCUGUGACGAGGCGUGAGUGACGGUAAUGGGUAAAGAAGCACCGGCUAACUACGUG